CUUAUUUUUAUAGUGAAAAUUGAAAAGUACUUGGGUUUUGGUGUUCAAAAAUCCUAGCUCCAACUCAGGGAAAUUAUUUAACCAAUAUGAGAUUUAUUUUGCCAGAUAAAGAUUGUAUUUAGCAGUAAGACCUCAGAGGGUCCGUGUGAGGAUUAAAUGAGAUAUUCCCAGUGAAGUGGUUGGCAUAAUUUCAGGAAUUAUAAUUUAAACAAAUUUAUUUAGACUGCCCAGUGCAGCACCUGUUGUGAAGGCAACAUUGGGAGAGAGGAAGAAAGGUCAAGAUGAAUUGGAGUUGCCUCAGAUGUCAAUCUGUACAAGUUGAGAGGUGCAGGCAUAGAAAAUGUUUAGGUUCUCAGAACUACCUAGACCUGUUGCCCUAAAUUUACAGAAAUUACAGGGAGGCCUGGAGGCUUGAGCAAAAGGGUGAGAAUGAUGGAUAAGAUCAGUUUAAGGAGUAACCUUGAUCUCAUACUUAUAUCUUCUGAAGUUCUGCUUCUCCCAAAUCCUUUGUCCUGCCCAUAUGAGUUCCUAUCAUCUAGACUUUAGUUAAUUCUAUGUCCCAGGUCUUUCCAAGUUUUCUCAAGCUCUUCUCACUCUUUAUAUCUAUCCAAUUAUCUUUCUUUUUUUUUUGGCUAGAUUAAAAAAAAAUUAAUUGAUUUAAUAAUGAUCGACAAGACUGUAGGAUAAGAGGGGCACACUUCCCACUACCAGAGCUUCCAUUUGGAAUCUUUCCUAUUUUUUAUCCCUCUGAGUGUAUGGACCCAGGAUCAUUAUGGGGUGCAGAAGGCAGAAGGUCUGGCUUCUGUAGUUGCUUCUCCACUGGACAUGGGCGUUGGCAGGUUGAUCCAUACCCCCAGCCUGUUUCUGUCUUCCCCUAGUAGAGCACGGCUCUGGCAAGGUGGUGUUCCAGGACACACUGGUGAGGUCAUCUGCCCAUGGAAGUCAGAUUGGCGUCAUAGUACAUCUGCAACUUAACACCUGAAAAGCAAUAAGAUAUAAAGCAGAACAAAUGGUUUAAUAAUCAGGAACCUAAAGGUAAGAAUACAGCAGGUGAGAUUUGGGGUCUCCAUUUUGGAAAAAGCUAGGAAGUCUAUUUUAGGUAUAUUCCAAGGAACCCAUGACUCUACUAAUUUUUGCCUGAGCCCAACAGCUAACAUGCAGGUGGGCUAAAGGUAUUGUCUGGGGAGAUGGUGUCAGAGUUGGGAAUAGGACUAGACAGCUGGAUCAGGGCAGAGUAGCUCCCAAAUAUGGAGAAAGUGUAGAUACUGCUAACUGUAAACCGCAUUGAUUUGAUCCGGGGCCCAUAUUCAGCACAGGAGCCUGUGCAACCUCUUUAUCCUUGUAGGUCUCACUCUUUCCUACACCUUUCCAGUAUGCUUCUACUGCCUGGGUAAUUCUCCUGCCUUCUGUAUGUACUGAACCCUUUACAUUUCAUCUCCUUUCACCUUUCAGGGGUUAGUCCAGCUCAUGUAACUUUUUCUCUUUGUCACUGUGUACCAGAUAGCUAGGCCCCAGUUAGCAUAGGCUGGGUCUCUACUUGUCACAUUAUUUCCCUAUAGAAUCUGGAGAGUGGCCAUCAAAGUGCUAAAAAAAAAGUCUUGGCUCAUGCAUAUUUGUUGGGUAACUGUCAACUGUCUACUUAGACUUUCUAGCAAAUGACCAGGGGAACCGUUCCCCUGUGCAGAGAAUCCUGAUUCACUGUCACUGCUUCUUUGGGGCUGUCACAUUACAUCUCUGAACUGCAGCUUUGUAAAUUGAGAGUUUUGUGCUCGAUUACUGUGGUCACUUCCUCUAAGAAAGUACAUGGUUCUGUGAGCUAUGACACAAUAGCAAAUACACUAUCAGCUUUGAAUGACUGGAUUCUCAUUAUACAGACCACCUAGUCACUCCAGCGCCCUGGAUUUUCAUCUUAGAUAGUGAUCAAUGCAUGGAGGAAGUUGCCUUCCUUUCCUCUUUCUUUCCUUUCUUGUUUGCUUGCUGUGUCUCUCUUCACUAAAAUGUGAGCUGUGUAAGAUCAGAGGCUGUAUUUUUUUAGUAUAAUUCUUCAUUGAAAGGAUUAAUGGUUUAUAGUCAGCCAUAAAAUACAGUAAAAAAAAAAAAGACAGUAGUUUGUACAUGUAUUGCAUUUCUCAGUUUUCCACAUAACAGAUCAACCCCCUCUAGGUCCUCUGCCAUCAUGUUCCAGGACCUGAAGCCUCCCCUCCACCUUAGAGUCCUUUACUUUGGCGCAGUACACCAAACCCAGUCCAAGUUCUGCUUUGUGUUUUCUUAUUUUUCAACUUCUUAAAAAUUUAUUAUUGGUGAUUUAAUAAUGAUCAACAAGAUUGUGGGAUAAGAAGGGUACAAUACCAUACAGUUCCCACGACCAGAGUAAAAUAGCCCAUCCCCUCCAUUGAAAGGUUCCCUAUUCUUUAUCCCUCUGGGAGUAUGGACCAAAGAUCUCUAUGGGGUGCAGAAGGUGGAAGGUCUGGCUUCUGUAAUUGCUUCUCUGCUGGACAUGGGUUUUGACAGGUUGAUCCAUACCCCCAGCCUGUCUCUACUUUCCCUUGUGGGGUAGGACAGAGCCAGUGUUUUAUAUGUAGUUGUACCCCAAACAUCUAUGACAGAGUCUGGAGCAUAGCUAGUGCUCUGUAAAUAUUUGUUCAAUGCCUGAAAAAGGUCCAUUAAGUUGGAUAAAAACAAUUAUUAUUGGACUAUCUGUAGCUAGGAUUUUUUUUUUUAACCAGUAGAAGAGUUCUUAGAGUCCAUCCAUAUUCCAUCUAGAAGUAUCUGGGUUGUGUUAACUGGCCUGGGUAGGUGGGUUGCCUUGUUGCCAGUAAAUCUGUGAGGAGUAAAUGCCUCAGUACCUUCAGGUGCUUAGAUAUUGCAUCUAUCCUGUUGUUACAUUUGUCUCUGUAUUAGUUCAGCUACUUAUUAUUAUUUUAAAUGUUUAUUUAUUUAUUUUCCCUUUUUGUUGCCCUUUUUUAUUGUUGUUGUUAUUGAUGUCAUUGUUGUUAGGACAGAGAGAAAUGGAGAGAGGAGGGGGAGACAGAGAGGGGGAGAGAAAGAUGGAACCUGCAGACCUGCUUCACCGUCUGUGAAGCGACCCCUCCUUCAGAUGGGGAGCUGGAGCCUUGAACUGGGAUCCUUCCGCCUGUCCUUGCACUUUGUGCCACGUGUGUUUAACCUGCUGCACUACUGCCCGACUCCCUCAGCUACUUAUUUUAUUGGAAGAUUUAUAGUCUACAGUUCAGUUGUUGAUACAUGGGUACAGUUUCUCAUCUCCCCAUGAUAGGUGUCUGCAGGACACACUCACCCCUUACUUAAGUCCUUUUCCAGCACCAGGCAUCAGUAACCCAGUACUCUCUCCACUCUCUCCCUUCACCUCUUUCCAAGAGUCUUUUGCUGUGGUGCAGUACACCACACCCAGUCCAAACUUCAGUUCAGUGACUUCUUAAUAACGCUUGCUUCAAGAACUGGAUUAUGGUGGUGGCGCCAGCCUUUUGUGGAAAUAACCUGAGGAUUUGUUUAAUUGAUGAGUUUUUGCCCCAGUACUCACCCUUUCAAAGCCAGUUUGGAGCCAUCAUUUAGUAGAUCUGCUUAUCUGCCACUGGCUAGUUCAUUACACUCUCUGGUUUCUAUGGUCUCUUAAUAGGUUGACAACUCAUUUGCAUAGUGGUGUGUUCCAUCUGUAGUGCCUAAUUAUUCUCAAGGGAAAAUAGUAUCCACCAUUAAAAUGGCUCCAGAACUUUCUUUGCUGAGAUAGCGGAGAUAAAACAGCCCUUUAUUACAUAGGCCCCUGUGCUGAAUAUGGGGUUCAGAUCAAAUUGAUGGAGUUUACAGUUAACAGUAUUUAUACACUUUCCCCAUAUUUGGGAGCUACUCUCUUCCCUGAUCCAGCUUUCUAGUCCUUUUUCUAACUAUGACACCAUCUCCCCAGACAAUAACCUGGGUCCACCUGCAUAUUAGAUGUCAGGCGCAGGCAAAAGCUAAAGUCAUGGGCCCUUUGGAAUAUACCUAAAAUAGACCUACUACUACUUUUUUUUUUUUUUUCAAAAUGGAGACCACAAAUCUUCAUCUGUAAUAUUCUUGCCUUUAGGUUCAUGAUUAGUCAACAAUUUGUUCUGCUUUAUAUCUUAACUCUUUUUCAGCCACCAGGUUCCAGAUGCUAUUAUGAUGCCAACCGGACUUCCCUGGGCAGACGACUCCACCAAAUGUCUUGGAGCCCCAUUUCCCUAGAUCUCUGCCCUACUAAGGAAAGAGCGAGGCAGGCUAGGAGUAUGGAUUGACCUGCCAAUGCCCAUGUUCAGUGGAAAAGCAAUUAGCCAGACCUUCCAGCUUCUACACCCUACUAUGGGUUCAUACUCCCAGAGGGAUAAAGAAUAUGGGAGUUAUCAAGGGCGGGAAUUGGAUAUGGAGCUCUGGGAGUGGGAAUUGUUUGGAAAUGUUCCUCUCUUAUCCUAUGGUCUUGUUAAUAUUUUCAUUUUAUAAAUAAAAAUAAGAAAAGCAUGGGACACAGUCUUUUGGUGAUGGGAAUAGUGUUUAUGUAUACUCCUAUCAAUUUGCAGUCAUAUAAAUCACUAAUUAAUAUGAGAGGGGAAAAUUGACUGAAUAUCUCAAAAAUUAAAAAAAUAAUAAAAGCCCUGUAGAUAAAAGCAUGUUUGAGACCCAAGGCUAGUGGAAUUCAGUGCCUUUCCUACACUGAAUCCUGAAUCCUUUGGUUCUUGUCUAGAACAGUGAGGACAUCUAGGAUGAAAACGAGAGUCCAUCUUAGUCAAACUGUAGAAUGAGGGUGGGAAGAAUGAUGACUAUGUACUAGACUUCAUGUGUGUACACAAUGAUCUCAUUUAAUCCCUUGGCCCAACAAAAGAGAAAACCAGUGCUCAUUGAUUAACAUUCUUACCAAUGAAUAGCCUGAAUUAGUGACUUAGCACAGACGUGAUUGACACCAAAGGCAGUGAUAUUUUUCACUAUGCCAUGUAGUGCCCAGAAUAGUGCCUACUACAUAGCAGAUAUUCCAGGGUGGGGACUGUGGUUCUCAACUGAAUAUUGACCAAGGCUUGUUUUACUUCAUUGCAAUUUCUGUUUUCAUUUCUGGAACUAUAGACCACUCAGCUUCCCUCUCUGAAUUUGGUCCUCUCUGUAGGUUGCCCUGUUUCUUAACUGUAUAAUCUAUUUAUCAUCUUUAAGUUCAGUUCCUCACCCCUCUACUCUUUCUGAGUUUUGCUUCUAUUCUUUGUAGGACCAAUGCUAGAAAGUUGGUGAAGUAUGAUGUGCCUUAAUCUUCCUGGUAUCCAUUAUGCACUUAAUAAGUUCUUAUUGCAAGAAGUAAAGAUAUGCAAAGGUAUAUCGCUGAUAGUAGAUUUUUCAAGGACAGUUGUCAUUAGAUAUGAAGAACUAGACUUAGUGUGGGGAGAGGAUUGGAAAGACUUUUAUUCUAGGCCACUUCUGCCCAUUCUGCUUAUGCUGAAUGAAGCAACAUAGAGAAGGAAGCCUAGGUAUAAAGACAGUCUGUACUUGAAUUUGGGAUAUUUCAGUAAUGAGGAUGCCAUCAGCUGCCAUUGGCUGGCAGACCAAGACUUUCAAGUUUCUAAUGCUGAAAAAUGAGAACAAAAAUCUCUCCUCCAGACUUCUUUUCCCUCUUAAAGAGCUUAGUGAAUAGAACUUAAUUUUGUUUUCUAGCUCGGUAAGAAAAUAUGACUAUAUACUUAGCAGCUCUAUUGCAAGAACCUAUCCUUCAUGACCAGGGAGGUUUAGGACCAGAACUUUGAGGCUCCAAGAUCACUGCAUCAGUGGUGUUCACUUUGGUAUUCCAGUUUGACCUCAGUCUCCCAGGGAUGCCUGAUUAUUGAAGGUGGGCUCCAGCGCAUGAGAAGUGGAAGGAAAAGUCCAAGCUGUCCACUCGCUUUUUCCUGAGGAGGGAGGUUUCCAAGUGUUUCAUAGUUGUUAUCUUGAGGAUCUCACUGCAUCCUGGAGGCAGCCCCUUCACUAACUUUCAGGCUGCUGCCAAGUUGCAGACGCUGCUAUGACACCAUCCUGACUUCUCUGGGAAGACAUCACCAUCAAUGUAUCCUGGAACCUCAUCUCCCCAGAGCCCUACCCCACUAGGGAAAAAUAGAAACAGGCUGGAGGAACAGGGCUGGAAAUCAGUCAUAAGGCAGCCAUCCACAACUAUGUGCAGCCUCGCUGAGCAUGAGCACAUCUUGUGGAUAUGUUCAGUCUAGAGACAGCACAACAGACAACAACCAGACUGCAGUUAUAAUUGUGGUGUUUGUCCGGCUGUGACCUUGCUGUUUAUGCUAUUACUUUCUCACCUUGGAGACUGAAAAACAUAACUGCAUCUCCAAAUCUGGAUUUAUCUAAGAAAAUAAUCAUGGAAUAUCCAGAUACUUAAUUAUGAAGAUACUCAUCAGAAUACUGUAUACAACUAUGAAACAUGGAUAAGAACUUACAUUUGAAACAACAAUGGAGAGUUGGUUAAAUAAGUUAUAGGGCCACAAUAACGUGACUUUAUCAGAGAAUAUUUAAUGAGACAGAAAGACACUCCUGAUAGAAUUUUAUGUGACUGGGUCCCAGGCGAUAACUCACAGGUUAAGUGCCCAUGGUGCAAAGUGCAAGGACCUGCACAAGGAUCCCAGUUUGAGCCCUGCAGGGGGUUUGCUUCAUAAGCGGUGAAGCAGGUCUGCAGGUGUCUUUCUCUCUUCCCCUUUUCUUCCCCUCUUUGCUCAAUUUCUCUUUGUCCUACCCAACAAUAACAAAAGCAAAAUGGAAAAUAUGGUCUCCAGGAGCAGUGGAUUUAUAGUGCCAGCACCGGGCCCCAGUGAUAACACUGGAGACAAAAAAAAAAAUUGUGUGAAUAAAGAACAACAACAACAAAAACCCACCAUUUGUAUGGUGCAAAACAAGCACACAAUAAAAAAGAGUGACAGCCCCAGAAAUUCCCUGCAGGCCAUGCUACUCCCACCAGGGCCUGGGCUUGAGUCCCAACUGUGUGUGCAGCAAGGCAAAGAGAACCUGCAAUAAACUUGAUGUCAAUGUCAUGUAUUGCUGAAGUCUGUGAAAUGUUGUCUUCGACCACUUACCAUUUCUCUCUGGAAGGUGGUGGAAGGAGUUCAACAAUGUGGCAAAUACCCCUCAGAAACUACAGGUA
Erinaceus europaeus (western European hedgehog) is the source of this 7129-nucleotide long non-coding RNA. RefSeq lists it as uncharacterized. NCBI's taxonomy places the organism in Eukaryota, Metazoa, Chordata, Mammalia, Eulipotyphla, Erinaceidae. The record is from RefSeq and is a predicted model, not a curated record. The transcript is spliced from 7 exons.